ACAUCCACCUAAGGGCGGGCAGUAAAUUUCUAUUUUAUUUCAAGCUUUACCACGACCUCUGAUACUGUUUUACCAAUAUCUGCUGGUGAUUUAACGGUAUAAACACCUGCUGCUUCCAGAGCUUUAAAUUUCUCAGCGGCUGUUCCUUUACCGCCAGAAAUAAUUGCACCGGCGUGGCCCAUGCGUUUUCCUGCAGGCGCUGUGACACCUGCGAU
RNAcentral lists this ribosomal RNA (215 nucleotides) under uncultured eukaryote. RNAcentral describes it as "partial 18S ribosomal RNA". The record is from RNAcentral.